AACGAACGCUGGCGGCAGGCCUAAAACAUGCAAGUCGAACGAACCUUCGGGUUAGUGGCGCACGGGUGAGUAACGCGUGGGAAUGUACCUUUUGGUGCGGAAUAACGUAGGGAAACUUACGCUAAUACCGCAUAAUAUCUUCGGAUCAAAGAUUUAUCGCCAAGAGAUCAGCCCGCGUUAGAUUAGGUAGUUGGUAGGGUAAUGGCCUACCAAGCCUACGAUCUAUAGCUGGUCUGAGAGGAUGAUCAGCCACACUGGAACUGAGACACGGUCCAGACUUCUACGGGAGGCAGCAGUUAGGAAUAUUGGACAAUGGGGGAAACCCUGAUCCAGCCAUGCCGCGUGUGUGAAGAAGGCCUUAGGGUUGUAAAGCACUUUCGGCCGGGAAGAAAUCGCAUGGGUCAAUACCCUGUGUGGAUGACGGUACCGGAAUAAGAAGCACCGGCUAACUACGUG
Molecule: ribosomal RNA, 456 nt
Filed under: uncultured bacterium
Lineage: Bacteria
Description: bacterial SSU rRNA
Rfam family: Bacterial small subunit ribosomal RNA
Source: RNAcentral